CCUACGGGCGACAUCAGUGGGGAAUAUUGGGCAAUGGGCGCAAGCCUGACCCAGCAACGCCGCGUGAAGGAAGAAGGCUUUCGGGUUGUAAACUUCUUUUGUCAGGGAAGAGUAGAAGACGGUACCUGACGAAUAAGCCACGGGUAACUAUGUGCCAGCAGCCGCGGUAAUACGGAGGUGGCAAGCGUUGUCCGGAUUCACUGGGUGUAAAGGGCGUGUAGCCGGGUUGACAAGUUAGAUGUGAAAUCCUGCGGCUUAACCGCAGAACUGCAUUUGAAACUGUUGAUCUUGAGUACUGGAGAGGCAGGCGGAAUUCCUAGUGUAGCGGUGAAAUGCGUAGAUAUUAGGAGGAACACCAGUGGCGAAGGCGGUCUGCUGGACAGCAACUGACGGUGAGGCGCGAAAGCGUGGGGAGCAAACAGGAUUAGAUACCCGAGUAGUC
RNAcentral lists this ribosomal RNA (442 nucleotides) under uncultured bacterium. Its description in RNAcentral is "partial 16S ribosomal RNA". It matches the Rfam family "Bacterial small subunit ribosomal RNA", at positions 338 to 795 of the family's 1533-position model. The record is from RNAcentral.